CUCACCUUGCUGAAUUUUAGUUAGUAGCUGAUGGCGUGCAAGAAUCCUACUCAUCCUGUAUGGAGAGCGUCUCGUAGUCUGAUCAAAUCAGUGCAACAGUUUUGACAGGAGAGACUGAAGGAGUUCCCCAGCUAUCCCACAGCUCAGUGAUUGGUGCACGCUUCUGAGGAUUUGAACAGGGGUCUCCUCCUUUCUCCCCAGGAAGCAGAAAGGAGGGAAUUGAAUGUGCAUUUCCUACAUCCCUGGAAAAGACUUGUGUGACUAGUUCGGUCACAGAGACCCCCUUGGGACUGCCACCUGAUGUGCUGAGACGAUCUCUGAGCCUGUUUUCCCUGCCAGCUUGGGACUUCAGAAGCCUGCCUUGUUGAACCAGACAUGCCUGCUGCAAACAUAGACCCAGGUCUGAACCACAUCCCAAAACCUGCAGACUUAACUAAAAACAGCUUAAGAAAUGCUCCUGUCUCCAGCACCCAGAUACCCAGUUCCCAAUGGGAUCCAAACCCCAAAUAAAUCCAUUUUACUCCAUGUAAAAUUUAUACAGGAUAAACGCAUAAAUUAUCCAUCCUCUAUAACACUGAUAGAGAGAUGCACAGCUCUUUGCUCCCCCAGGUAUCAAUUAAGAACAUAAGAACGGCCAUACUGGGUCAAACCAAAGGUCCAUCAAGCCCAGUAUCCUGUCCUCUGACAGUGGCCAAUGACAGGUGCCCCAAAGGGAAUGAACAGACAGGUUAUCAUCAAGUGAUCCAUGCCCUGUCACCCAAUCCCAGCUUCUGGCAAACAGAGGCUAGGAACACCAUUCCUGCCCAUCCUGGCUAAUAGAUUCAUGGAAGAUAGCCAUUGAUGGGCCUAUCUAGCUCCCUUUUGAACCCCAUUAUAGUAUUGGCCUUCACAACACCCUCUGGCAAGGGGUUCCAGAGGUUGACAGUGCAUUGAGUGAAAAAAUACUUUCUUGUGUUUGUUUUAAACCUGCUACCUAUUAAUUUCAUUUGGUGGCCCCUUGUUCUUGUAUUAUGAGAAAGA
Molecule: long non-coding RNA, 1020 nt
Organism: Malaclemys terrapin pileata
Lineage: Eukaryota; Metazoa; Chordata; Testudines; Emydidae
Exons: 3
Source: RefSeq, a predicted model, not a curated record